CAGCACCUUGCACUUGGUCUUGUUAAACCACAUGAAGUUCCUAUGGGCCUGCUUCUCCAGCUAACAUUUGGAGCUAUCCCUGUGAGUAUCCUUCCAGGAAUACUCCUUGGCAGUCUGCAAAGAAGAGACUCCAUGCCUUCAACUUUUUCACCUUGGUGUUGGGAUGUUGUUGGAGCCUUUCUUACCUUAAGUGACAUGAGCUUGACAGGUGUCUCAAAUCAAUAGUUCUAACAGAUGUAACUUCAUUGAUGUGCUCUAUUUAUUUGACACACAGCAUAUUUUCUGUGGUUUAAUUUAUUUUUUCAAAUAAUGACAAUUUUUCCUCAUUUACUGUUGUUUCUCUUUUCACCCCUCUUUCCUAGGUAGUUGUAAUUCCUGGCUGCUUGCAACUACGUGUAAUAUGAUGAACAGAGCUAAAAUCGAAAAAGCUAUUUUUUGAGGCUUUUGACUUUUAGUGUUUUUUGUAAAUCAUAGUGAAAUGUCUGUCCUUGAAAACUGUAUCAUUUGUGGAAUCAGUGGGUUAUUUUUGGUUCUCAGCUCCUAAAAGAUGGAAUUUUAAAAACUUUUGGAGAAACUUUCUUGUAAAGAAAGUUAACAUCAGGGGAAGGUGAACCUCACAUAGAAAGAUGAUCUCAUUCUUGUUUUCUCUCAUCAUCUUAUGUCUCAUCACAUCAACCUCUUGUCUGUAGCUGAGCUUUUUAUACCUCUAAGUUCCACAAAGAUUGAGUUUCAAAUGUUAUAAUGCUAAUAACUGGCAGCUGAGAUGCCUGUCACUUUUACUUUAAAACAAAAGACACCUUUUUGAUAAAACAGUUGUAAUACUUGUAAAAGGCAUGUUAGAAGCAUGAAAUCUUAUGACAACUUUGUCAUGUGUCCUCAUUUUAGACAGGUAAAUUGUCUUAAAUUAGCUCAUGCAGUUCCUAAAAACAGUGUUUUGCACUAGUCAAUACAUUUUAUAUUCCUCCUCUUCAAAGGCUUCUGAAGUUGACAAUUUUUCCCCCUCUGUACAAAGAUUAGAUCAAUUUUCCAGAUACUUUCCUAAAUUCCAAAAAAAGGAAUAGGUAAGUGUGACAUGCUUGUCCAGACCCUUUUUAAAAAGCUGUAUGUAUACAAUGCAAUCAAAGUGUUUGCUGAUACACAUGUACAGACAGAGUAGUUUAAUAUAGGAGUGAUGCACAUUAUCUUUGUGAUCAUUCUCUGGAGGUUGCAUUAGUAAAGAAGUAAAAGUCCUUUCAUAUCCUUUGUCUUCAAAGGACAGUAGCCAAUACAGCAAAAUACUGCAGAGAGUUGAGGUUUUGUUGCCUAAUAGGACAUCAUCAUCAUGCCAUAGCAAAACCAGUAAGUGUCUGUAAUAGCAAUAAGUUCUAUUCCUGUGUAACUUGCUGCACCCCAUUAAACUUCAUCAGUUCCCCUAGUGUUUAAAUUGCAUAGGUUUGGAUGCAUGCCUCAAGUGUGCAUUUGGCCUCUGGUAACUGUUUAUAGCAAUCUUUCUUUUCUCUGAUUUCUUCUGCAGAGGUUCUUGUGUAAGAAAUAUGUGUGGGGGAGAAAGAGUUAUCAACAAGCCAAUGCUUCUCUCUAGCCUCCUAAUGCAUCUAGGAAUUACUUUCCUUUUUUCUUCUUUAUGAUGGGUUGGUGAUAAGGUUUUUCUGGACUUUCACAUGCGGUUUAGAUCUCCAUGAUAUGGAGAUGUGGCUGAGAUAGAAGUGCACAGGCUGGUACUUCCCUGAUGACCUUGAUUGACAAUUCUUUUGCUUCCUGGUAGGUGGGAGCCGUAACCCUUAGUAUAAGGACUCUGUUGUAGGCUGGAGGAAGAGGAAGACUUCAAUAAAGAGGAUAACUGGUGCUCUCCCCACUUUCCUGGUUGCACAGUGGGACUUUUCCCACUGCUGCUGAUGCCCAGAUGGUUUCCU
Sturnus vulgaris (Common starling) is the source of this 1910-nucleotide non-coding RNA. Lineage: Eukaryota; Metazoa; Chordata; Aves; Passeriformes; Sturnidae. The record is from RefSeq and is a predicted model, not a curated record.